Molecule: RNA transcript, 6508 nt
Organism: Raphanus sativus (radish)
Lineage: Eukaryota; Viridiplantae; Streptophyta; Magnoliopsida; Brassicales; Brassicaceae
Exons: 2
Source: RefSeq, a predicted model, not a curated record
CAUCAAGUUAGUGUUAUGAUUGAUAUUAAAUAUUAAUGUUCACUAACAUAACAGCCAUGUUUCCAUGAGCAAUUUAUUUUAAUGAUUCAGGAUUAUAUAUGUUUUUGUGAAAGACAAAAUUUUAGACGCGAUUCUAACCACUUGCGAAACAUGAAGUGUUUCUAAUAUGUCAGGUCUACAAUCUCCAAUUCAUGUCAUCCUCGUUGAGAUAAGUUCUAUUGAUCAUGCUCAGUAUACAUUCAUGUUAUUAAAUUUGAUUAGAUGUAUUAAUUUGCACAUGACAUCUGCUAUAUAUAUAUAUGUAUAUAUUUUUUUUUUUUGUUUAGAAAAUUGAUUGAAAAGUAAUCAAUAUAAAGAUGAUUAAUAGUAUGAUAGUACGAUUUAAUAAAUGUUAUAAUAGUAAACAAAAAAAAAAGAAGGAUGAAUAGGAUUUAUCACUCAUAGUAAAAUGUUAAUAGUAAUAUAAUCUGAUAUAUAUACUGAUAUACAUAUGUUAUAUUUUAUUAUCAUUGUAUAUAUAAGAGUAUUAAGUUUAAGGUUUGACCUUAAAAGAUCCAUACGUCUUGGAAAAUAAUCUAAAAAGGUAUUAUCACCUGAAUGUGAUUACCUAAAGCUCAUUAUGCAUUUUACAAGACCUGAAGUCUGUAAAUAAAUCUCAACUAUAUUAGAUGUUAAGUUUAAAAGUAAAAUUUCUCGAAGAAACUUUUACACAAACAAUGUGUCCAGUAGACAUAUGAUUGAGAAAAGAAAUUAAAAAAGUUUAUAUUAUAUUUUGUCUCUUUGAGACUGAUAAAAAUAAUGAGCUAUUGAUAUAAUCACGUCUAAUUGAUUAUGAACCAUUCUCCUGAAGAGAAAUAUGACAUUGAAAAAAAAAAUCCACAAAAUAGUAUUGGUCAAGAAAGUGAUCAUAGAAGUGGUUGUAGACGUGAAUGUGGAUAUAAAUAAGGUCAAGACCAAUGAGUUUCUUUUUAGAACUCAAAUUCUCACUUGAAGUUGAGAAAAUAAAGAUGGUAAUAAAGAAUAGAUAAAGAUGAAAGAAAAUUAUUGUGAGUACAAUACAAGUAGUAUAAAGCUUGUAGAAAGUUCAAGAAGAGGAUAUAUAUGAAUGCUCCUGAAGAGUACAUAAUAUUAUUGCACAUAAGAAUGCAAUUUAAAAUCCUUAAUGUAUUAUAUUCUUAUAAGUCUCAAAAGUAAGAAGGAUCUAAGAAAGAGUACAUGGCCCAUGUAAGGCAUCUUGUUGAUUCUAAUAUGAGAUUCAAUCGAGAUUGAUAAACCUGUAGUGAUAUCAUCUCGAAGGGAAGAGUUAAAGAAUCUCAUAUUUUAUAAUAAGUGAAACAUCCAGAAGAUUAUGUUUACACUAAAAGUUAGAUUGAUGAAUCUUUCUCAAAGUAAAUCUAUGAAAUUUUGAGACAAGUUAUGUUUAGAUACUAAGCAGAGGAAUUCACUUCCAAAAAUAUUUCUCAAGGCAGUAAAACCAUUUUAGAAAAAGUAUCUACAUCCUCUUAUAUAUUGUACUACACAAAGAUUAGUGUAAUGAAGAUAUAUAUAGAGUAAACCAGAAGUUUACAAAAUACUUGGCAUGAACCAGUUAGACCAUUUUGGUUCAGUGAUGAUGCGAAAUGAUACAUAAAGAUUUAUGUGAAUAUUCAUUGAAGAACCAGAAGAUUCUUGUGAAUAAUUUCACAAAUGUUUCUUGCUCAUAAGAUAAAAUGAAAAUACGGUUUUCACCAGCCAAAUGAAGUUAUUGGCAUGAAUAAAGGAGAUGUUGGUGGACUGAUCAUCCACUAUGCAUCUUUAUUGGUGAAUUCACGUCUAAGUCUUUGACGACUAUAAAAAAAAUUCACUGGGAUAAGUGUUAAAUAUUUUGAGCAACAUUAAUUUGCAUCAAGCCAAAAAGUAAUCAUUAAUUCUCCCCAUCAUUGGUAUUGGGUCAGAAACCAACCAUUUUCAUCUAAGAAUGUUGGAUGGCGAUAUACAUUCCAGAUGCUCCACCACAGAGCUUAAAAUAAGAUGAGUUUUCAAAUGAGGUUGGUAAUAUAUGUUGGAUAUGAAUCUCCAUUGAUACUUAAGCAUCUAUAGUCAUCCCCGAAGGAUAUAAACAAGGCUCGAUAUGAAUGCUAAAUACUGAAUUAGUAUUUCCAACAUAAGGAGGAGAAAAUAAAAAGCUGGAGAAGAAAACAAGUUGAAUGGAAUUAUCAUUGAUCCUCAGACUAAAGAAAAAGUGAAUCAGAAAUCUAAAAGAUAAUUCUAUAGCUUAGUAAAUCAGUUGCCAGAAGCAACUAAUGACCCUAAUAUAGUGUGACCAAGUCACAUAUACCAGCUAUAAAUGCUCUAAAUAAGAAUUGAUGUUCCAGAAGAAUAAUAUCAAACUGCCAGUUACGCCUGAAGCGUAGUAGACAUAUUGGUUCCAAAGAUAAAAAUCCUCGUAAACGAAAAGGAGCAUACAUUAAUAAUGGUCAAGAGGAAUAAGAGUUUUUGAAUGAUCUCCAGAAGAGACAUUAAACAUGACUGAAAGAAAUUCAGGUACCUGAGACAACAAAGAGAUCUCAAUAAAUUAUGUCAUGUAUGAAAUAAAAUGGAACCGAUAAGAAAAUCGACGUCGAUAAUAUUUAUGCAUGCAAAGUAGCAGUUGAUAUGAUGAAUAAGAAAGAGGAUCAUGAAAUAAAGUCUAUUGAAAAGUGUACACACAAAAAUGAUUGGCCAAAUCAUAAAGAAGUAAUAGACAAAAGAUACAAACUCUUGUUAAAGAGAGAUGUAUUUGGACCAGUAGUCCAUACACUAGAAGGUGUAAAAUAAAUGGGAUAGAAAUGUGGUUGCACCAAAGUAAGAUCAAUAUGAAAUUGAUUGUGAAGAGACAUAGUCUCAUAUGGUAGAUGCAACUACUUUCAAGUUUCUUACUAGUCUGGCAAUAAAGGAAGAACUUGAACUAUACAACCCAUUGGAAACUGAUAAUCCCUAAGAGAUAUAAUCCUUGAAGGAUUGAUGAUAUCAAAAUUAUAUUCCCAAGAACUCUAGCUAUUCAAUCGAAAUAUGUUUUAUGGGAUAUGUGAAAUAUUAGAAGUUAAUCAGUACAUCCAUUUGUAUUUAUCAAGAAAUUAUGAAUCAAUAGAAUCAUUGAUUUGAAUAAAAUCCAAACUCUUGAAGAGUUAUAACAAAUUGUUUGUUUGGAAGAAAGAUCUUGAAAAGACUACAUUGUUAUGUGUUCCAAACUAGACAUCUAGAAUAAGAGAUGUUAUCUUAAAAGAUCUUUAAAUAUUUUAAGAUGAUCAUAUAUAUGACUGGUCCUGAAGUACCAUACUUAAAACAAGCUAUGUUUUACAUAUGAUAAGACUGCAAUGACUUGCAGCAGAGACCAUAGCCGUGGACAUGUGUAUGACUGAGAUCAGCACGCCCUAAGUGACAUAUAAGAUGAUCACAGAGAUAGAAAAAGAGAACCAUUAAGGCUCACGCCAAAGACCAUACAAUCAAAGGUCAUAUCCGGUUCCAUUCAAGUCCAAUCAUCCAUGAGAGAUGAAUAAUAUGCCAACCCAAAACAUGAUAUGGUUUUGAGGUAUCAACUAUCAUUAUGCAUAGUUAUAGCAAAUGGUAAAGAUGGUCAUGAGACGCCAUCAAAGAAAAGUUGGACUGCGAUGUUUAAGUAAUAAGAUUACACUGUGGGACUGAAAUGUAAGCACGAGCUCUUAUGAUUGCAUCAGUGGAUAAAAGGGAAUCAUAAUGGUCCAAGGUUUUAACGAGGCAACAAAGAACACACAAAUGAUACACACCAGAAAGGAGUAUUUGAAACUCUAAUGCUGAUUUAAAGUCUUUGAAAGCAAGAGAAUCGAAGAAAAUGAUCAAGUCAUAGGAGGACUCAAGCACUGCAGAAGAACGGUGAUAUUCGUGUCCUACAAAUUGGCUGAUUUAUUCAUCAAGGCGGUACUCUCAGCUACUUUCGAGAAGUUAGUUCACCUGAUCAGAUUACAUCAUCUCAAAGAUCUCGACGAAUGUACACAUGAGGGGAAGUCAUUACGCGCUGCACUCUUUUUCCCUUAACCAUGGUUUUUCCCAUUGGGUUUUCCUGGUGAGGUUUUUAACGAGGCAGCAUCUACGGCGUUUUAAAAGCACUUCGACAUAUUGGACAUCAAGGGGAAGUGUUAUAAAUAUUGUAGUGAUGUCCAUAUGGAAAGUCCUAGAUAUACUUGUUCCCCACUCCAAGUUAAGCUUUGUCUCCAAGCUAUUGUAUCAUAUAUAAGGAGAUCAUUAUUCAUGGAAUAAGAUACACCAAUUCCUCUCUUCUCUUGUCUUUUCUUUCUUUACUUUAUAACAAAACCAAUUAUAUAGUUUCAAUAGAUGCAUAAGCGCUUCGUAGUCAUUAAUUAGGCCUUAUUGUAUUUAGUGUAAUCCUCUCUUUAAGCAGAGCCGGUCCUAGCAUAAUAGAGAGUAGAAGCAAAUUAAUAAAAUAUGGCUGGUGACGAAGGGCUUCGAACCCGGAUUGUCUGCACGCAAUUAUUUUCCUCCUUUAUGAACCACUAGACUAAGAAGACUUUUGACAAUUUUGUGGCUGAUAUUUUAAUUAUUUAAAAACGGCUGGAAGCAUGUGCUUCAUCCACUUGGUCCAAGGGCCGGCUCUAUCUUUAACCGGCUCUAUCUUUAAGUUUAUAAAAGAAGAUAGAUUCUUAAACAUGGAGUUUAUUCAUCGAAAAUCAAUACUCCCUCUGUUUCAAAAUGUAAGUAGUUCUACUAAAAAAAAUUGUUUCACAUUAUAACUAGUUUACAUAUUUUAUUGUAUCUUUCUCAUUUAUUUGAUACUGUUACCAAUAAAAUAAUGUUUAUUUUCUUUUAAUUGAUUGAAGUGAUUGAUUAAAUGAUAUAUUUUUCAGUAAUUAUUUUCUAAAUAUUUGUGCUUUUAAACAGAAUUAUUUAUAAUUAGAAGCGGAGAGAGUAAACAAUAGAAAAAGUGGAUGAUAGAAGUUAUGUGUUUGGCUAGAGUCACAUGAAAUUGUUCAUGUAUUUUGUUUGGUUGUUAAGUGUUUUUUGAAUUGAGAUUUCUUUGUUUACUAGAUUCCAACAUAUUAAUUUGUCAUUUCUUAUAAUAUGUACAUCUCUUGCAUAUGCAAUUCUAACUAUCACUCUCGAACGUAUCCCCACCUCAAAUUCUCUUCUCCCUCUUAUCUCUCUUUCAUUAUAUAAAAAUAUUGGGAACGUUGCUCUAUAUAUAUUAGCUGUAUUCUACAAAUUUUAUUAAUUUUGUUUUUAAAUAAACAGUUGACAUAUAUUCUAUUGGGCAUAUCCUGUUCCCUAAAUUAUUGUAAAUGAUGGGUAUAUUGGUUUAGUUGUGGUACGCUUUGGUUUGGUUAAUUUGAAUUUUAUCAAAUUCAAUCCAAUCAAAACUAAAGUUGUUUAGGUUUGAGUUUGGUUUGGGUUUAGUUUGAUUAUGUUAGGUUUAAAUUUAGUUUGAUUCACUUUAUUAUGUUUCAGUUCGAUUGGCUAUAAAAUUUGUUAGUAUUAGUUUGAUUAAAAUCUAACUUAAUUAUCAAAAGUGGGGAUAAAAUAGACACUUUGUUAGCUAAAUCCAUUUCUAAAACAAUGUAUAUAAAACAUAAAAAAUAUGAAUAUUAGGUUUAUCUCUUUCAUAAUAUGAUUUAACUAAAAACAUAUUUUCACUAAAAUCUAAAAGAAUAUUUGCAUCUACCAUAGUCUUUAUUGAUUAUAGAUGAACUUAUCAGGAUUAAACUUAGACAAUAUAUAUAAUAGUACUAUUUGCAUCAGUGGAUACUUAAAAACUAUAGAAGUUAAGAAAAAAGGAAAACUAAACUUUAACUAAACAAUUUUACAGUAUGUUAAUAUAUAUAUAUAUAUAUAUAUAUAUAUAUAUAUAUAUAUAUAUAUAUAAGAGAAAAGGAAAACUGAACUUUAACUAAACAAUUUUACAGCAUGUUAAUAUAUAUAUAGUAUUUAUUAAUAAAUAAAAAUAUUUUGGAUUAUCGGUUUGGUCCAGUUUAAAACCAAAUCAAACUAAACUAUUCGAGUUGAGUAAUAAAUGAACCAAUUGGAUUAUGUAGAGAACACGGUUUAGUUUAAUUCGGUUAAUUUUUGGUUGGGUUAAGUCGAUCCGGUUUGGUUUAGAUUUUUUUGCCCACCUCUAGAAUUAAAUGUCCAUCAAUUAUUAUUAUUUGUGUGGCACUGGAAUAAUUUGAAGUAAUAAGAUACAUAUAUUAUAUAUAUAUAAUAAAAUUAUGAUUUAUUUAUAACAAUAAAGUACAUUACAGCAUGUGUUUAUUCAAUUUUUAUGUUUAAAAGUUAUAUAAAUAUUUAAAUAUAUGGUAAAUGUUAUAAAUAUUAACUACUAAACAUUUAAAUAAUAUUAAAGUAUAUAAAAGUUAAAUCACCGUCAAGUUCUAGUUAGCAAAUUAAAGUACAUGUUUUGUAUAUGAUGAGUUGCUUACCAUGUUUGAACCAGCAUAACAAAAUAAUGUACACAAAUAUAUGGACCAAAAAUCCUUUACCAAUAUUUAUUUCCAUAAAUCUA